CAGGAGCCAUGGAGAGGACACCGGGAGCCCUGCUGGGGAUUUUGUGGGUGCAGGUUUGCUGGGUGAGAGGGGUGGAGGUGGAGCAGAGCCCUUCAGUCUCGAGUCUCCGGGAAGAAAACAGCAUUACAUUGAGGUGCAAUUUUUCUACCACCAUGAACUCAGUGCAGUGGUUCCUGCAAAAUCCAGGAGGCAGCCUCCUUAGUCUGUUCGUCAUGGCUCCUGGGACAAAGCGAAAUGGAAGGCUAGAGUCAACAUUUAAUUUCAAAGAACGUUAUAGCACCCUGCAGAUUACAGCCUCCAAGCUGGGUGACUCAGGCUUCUACCUCUGUGCAGCAGAUGCACAGUGCUUCCAGGUCCCUUGCAGCCUGGCUCCAAACUGCAGCUGGGCCUGAGCCACA
Fukomys damarensis (Damara mole-rat) is the source of this 398-nucleotide non-coding RNA. The record is from the annotation of a RefSeq genome assembly. NCBI's taxonomy places the organism in Eukaryota, Metazoa, Chordata, Mammalia, Rodentia, Bathyergidae.